UUCCAGACUCCUACGGGAGGCAGCAGUGGGGAAUAUUGCACAAUGGGGGAAACCCUGAUGCAGCGACGCCGCGUGAGCGAUGAAGUAUUUCGGUAUGUAAAGCUCUCUCAGCAGGGAAGAAAAUGACGGUACCUGACUAAGAAGCCCCGGCUAACUACGUGCCAGCAGCCGCGGUAAUACGUAGGGGGCAAGCGUUAUCCGGAUUUACUGGGUGUAAAGGGAGCGUAGACGGUCCUGCAAGCCAGAUGUGAAAGCCCGGGGCUCAACCCCGGGACUGCAUUUGGAACUGUAAGGCUAGAGUGUCGGAGAGGCGGGCGGAAUUCCCAGUGUAGCGGUGAAAUGCGUAGAUAUCAGGAGGAACACCGGCGGCGAAGGCGGCCUGCUGGACCGUGACUGCCGUUGAGGCUCGAGAGCGUGGGGAGCAAACAGGAUUAGAUACCCGUGUACA
Molecule: ribosomal RNA, 448 nt
Filed under: uncultured bacterium
Lineage: Bacteria
Description: bacterial SSU rRNA
Rfam family: Bacterial small subunit ribosomal RNA
Source: RNAcentral